GACGAACGCUGGCGGCGUGCUUAACACAUGCAAGUCGAACGGAAAGGCCCUGCUUUUGUGGGGUGCUCGAGUGGCGAACGGGUGAGUAACACGUGAGUAACCUGCCCUUGACUUUGGGAUAACUUGAGGAAACUGGGGCUAAUACCGGAUAGGAGCUCCUGCUGCAUGGUGGGGGUUGGAAAGUUUCGGCGGUUGGGGAUGGACUCGCGGCUUAUCAGCUUGUUGGUGGGGUAGUGGCUUACCAAGGGUUUGACGGGUAGCCGGCCUGAGAGGGUGACCGGCCACAUUGGGCCUGAGAUACGGCCCAGACUCCUACGGGAGGCAGCAGUGGGGAAUAUUGCACAAUGGGCGGAAGCCUGAUGCAGCAACGCCGCGUGCGGGAUGACGGCCUUCGGGUUGUAAACCGCUUUCGCCUGUGACGAAGCGUGAGUGACGGUAAUGGGUAAAGAAGCACCGGCUAACUACGUG
RNAcentral lists this ribosomal RNA (468 nucleotides) under uncultured bacterium. RNAcentral describes it as "partial 16S ribosomal RNA". It matches the Rfam family "Bacterial small subunit ribosomal RNA", at positions 28 to 507 of the family's 1533-position model. The record is from RNAcentral.